UGGGGAAUAUUGCACAAUGGGCGCAAGCCUGAUGCAGCCAUGCCGCGUGUAUGAAGAAGGCCUUCGGGUUGUAAAGUACUUUCAGCGGGGAGGAAGGUGUUGAGGUUAAUAACCUCAGCAAUUGACGUUACCCGCAGAAGAAGCACCGGCUAACUCCGUGCCAGCAGCCGCGGUAAUACGGAGGGUGCAAGCGUUAAUCGGAAUUACUGGGCGUAAAGCGCACGCAGGCGGUCUGUCAAGUCGGAGGUGAAAUCCCCGGGCUCAAGCUGGGAACUGCAUUCGAAACUGGCAGGCUAGAGUCUUGUAGAGGGGGGUAGAAUUCCAGGUGUAGCGGUGAAAUGCGUAGAGAUCUGGAGGAAUACCGGUGGCGAAGGCGGCCCCCUGGACAAAGACUGACGCUCAGGUGCGAAAGCGUGGGGAGCAAACA
RNAcentral lists this ribosomal RNA (427 nucleotides) under uncultured bacterium. RNAcentral's name for it is "partial 16S ribosomal RNA". It matches the Rfam family "Bacterial small subunit ribosomal RNA", at positions 355 to 774 of the family's 1533-position model. The record is from RNAcentral.